UCCAUGGUGGCCUAAUGGUUAAAGAUUUGGCAUCGUCACUGCUAUGGUUCAGGUUCAAUUCCUGGCCCUGGGG
Molecule: transfer RNA, 73 nt
Filed under: Sus scrofa (pig)
Lineage: Eukaryota; Metazoa; Chordata; Mammalia; Artiodactyla; Suidae
Rfam family: tRNA
About the family: Transfer RNA (tRNA) molecules are approximately 80 nucleotides in length. Their secondary structure includes four short double-helical elements and three loops (D, anti-codon, and T loops).
Source: Rfam by way of RNAcentral